Molecule: long non-coding RNA, 3338 nt
Organism: Vespa mandarinia (Asian giant hornet)
Lineage: Eukaryota; Metazoa; Arthropoda; Insecta; Hymenoptera; Vespidae
Source: RefSeq, a predicted model, not a curated record
AUAAGGAAAAAUAAGGAGGAAGGAAGAAGACAAAUCGUUAUUCAUCUUUACCUUUCUUCUCUUAUCACAUCGUUCGACAUUAUCAAGAACUACUUACGAAUCGAAGCUUUGAUACUGGACAUCGAUAAGCAUUCCCUUCUGGAAUACUUAUCCAGUAAAGGAUCUUGACGAUCAUACGGAGGGAUAAUACGACGUAAAAAAGCAAGGAGAAGAAUCCUUGUGAAUCAGAAGAAAAGCCAAAAAUCCCUUUGGGUGUUCGAAGAUCCAGCCGGCGAUAUAAAAGAAACCGUCAGACGAAAAGUCGUGAAAGACAGUAUAUCUCUACCGUGGUCUGGAUUUACCAAGUUACUGUCCUCUCACUGUCUUCUUCUAUUUUCUUACUCUAUCUAUCUUUUUCUCUUCUUUCCCACCAGAUAGUUCUUUGGUUACGAAUCCGACAUACAAUCGGAGGUAAUAAUGAUAACUCGAUGGAGGAAGACGAAAUCGGGCGAUUUACUCGCACGGUGAGGAAUCUCCUGGAGUUCAGAGGGCAGCGCCCUUGCUGCGCGUUAACUCACCCCCGCUGGGCGCACAGCAACAUGCGAUGCUGCUAGGGUUGAUGAAUGGAUCCUACGUAACGCGUGCGUGCGUCCGCGCGCGCGCGCGCGCGCGUGCUCGUUCAAAGAGCGCGUUGAAAAUCGGACGGAUUUUCGCGCAAUGAUUAAAAUGACGUAUUUCUGUGAUUCAAAUUUUAUCAUGAAUAUUAACCCCAAUAAAAUAUCUGGAAAAGAGAAGUUAAACCAACAACGAUGAACUUACGUGAAAAUAUACAAGAAUUUUUCAAUGAUCAUAUCAUUACAAAAUUGUUUUUCAUUUGUUAUUAUUUUAUAGAAAGAUUUAUCUAUUCUUCGUGAUUACUCAAAGAGAUGUUCAUUUAAUUACGAUCGAUCAUCAUUCCAAGGGGAGUUUCACAGACUUUUGGAAAGUUUCGUACACUUCGUAUAAAUGUCUCGAUUUGGAUAGGAACGUUUGAAAUACCGUUAACGCAUUAUUGUCCGGUCUAAGUCGCGUAUAAUAUUACGCCUUCUAUAUACCUUGAAAUGCAAUAAAUACGUCACACGAUAAUGGACUCACACGCAAACCUUAACAUUACAUCAUGAUAAAAAUAGUUUCUCCUUGAAAGUGGUUCGAAGGAUCGCUCGAACUAAAAGUUAUGAUCCCUUGUAAGGGAUAUUGAGCUACGAGUGACGAGAGUUGUUUUCGAGGGUGAAUGUAUUUCGGGUAUUUAUUUUUUAUCGAAACGACGUUUCAGUAUUUUUAAUCUCACUAUAAUUUGUUAUAAUGAUAUUGAAGGAGCGUUGAUGAAUUUGUCAUUGAGAUAUUUGUCAAUUGUCAAAUUGCGUUUUAAUGAAUGAACGAGGAAUAAGAAGAAAAAUAAGAGGAAAGAAAGAGAAAGCAAAAGAAUAAUAGAAAGCAAAUUGGCUUGCUAGCUGACAAAGACAGACAGACAGGUCUGAGCAAAAGCGAAGAGGGCAUCGUGUUUGAACUCUAAGAGGACUUUCAAUGCUCUUUCCCAAUGAGAAAUAAAAAGAUCAAGCUGCGAAUUUGCCGAUGGAAGCCCAGCUUGAUUUAUUAAUUCGAUUAAACCUUAUAAGCGGUGUACCGAUGUUUAAUCUUACUUGAGCGCGAAGCAACCAUUUUUACAUAGUGCCUACUCUCACGCGAGCCACUUCGCGCUACUCGAUUGUUCUUGCUAUGGAUGAUUCUCAUGAGAGAGUUCGACUCUAUUAUUAUGCUCUCCCUUUUUAUCUCGUUUUCGCAACCCGUCGAUUUAUUUUACGAUCAUCGCCGUACAAGUACGUUUCAAACAAUCCUUUUAACGAUAUGCGAUGGUUUUUUAUUAAAAAUUUCUAUAUUAGCUUGAAUUUCUAUUCUUUCAUAAGUAAUUAGAACCAUAAGAAAUAUAUUUUUGAACACAGUAUUAAUAAAUUGAGAUAAUGUUUGAUACUCUUCUCACAAAUCUUUGAACAUCGAACAUAACCAUUAAUGGAUAUUCUAUUAUAAAUGAGGAUCGAAUAUAAAAAUCUUAUCAAUUGAUCAAAUGGGAUUUUUUAGAAUGCACGAAUAAUCUGCAACAAGAAACAACGAUCCUAGAAAGCAAAUAGCCAAUAUGGGAUAGAAUUUAUCAACUGCGCAAAUUCCACGAACGAUUGCCAUAUAAGUGAUCCGCGCCCUUUUACGACGACCGGUCCCAUAAUCUACAUAUUACUAGCAUAAUCAUGUAGCCGUUGUGAGCGGUACCUUUAAGAUCCUCGCCACAUAACCUGUAUAUCCGCACAAGCACGAUGCACGUUCUGAAGGAAUGCGAAUAGCAGAGGCGUGCCGACGAUUUGCAAGAAGGAUCGAGACUUCAGAGAGUUAGACGGAGAGGGAGAAAGAGAGAAAGAGAGAAGAGUGAAAAAGAGAAGAAACGAGACGAAGGGGAAAGAUUCCGUUCUCGGGCCGGUUCCUACAGCGUCUGGUAAUGAAGGUGUUAUUAAAUAGAUUGAGAUUAAUUGCGUGAUUAGUGCUUUAUGUGUAAUUGGAUAGCGUACCAAGGGUAAAGAUGAGAAAGAAAGACAGAAAAAAAAGGAAGAUGAGGGAAGGGGAAAAUUAAAUUGCUGUUCGUAUAUGUGUUUGUAUCCUGAAUUCGCUCCUAUCUUUUCCUUUUUUGUUUGUCUUCUUUACAUUGGAGUUUUGCCAGGAACAAUUUCGUCGACUUACACACUAAUGAUCAUCAAUCUAGUUUCUUCAAUAUUACGAAAAAAAAGAUCAAUUUUAUUUAUUUUUUUUUUUCUCCUUUUUUUUUAUAUAAUCUCAUAUUGGAUAAAUGUACUACUUAUCGAAUAAUUUGACUUAAAAAAAAAAAAAAAAAAGAAAUUGUUAUAUCCUUUAUAAUAAAUAUUUAAAUGAAUAGUACAGAAAUGGAAUGAAGAAUUUGAUUAACCGUGAUAAAAUGAGAAUUUUGAGAAAGGAAAGAAAGACAGGUGCAGAAACGAAAGAGUAAAAGUUGAAGGAUACGAGGUCAGAAUUAAAUGGAAAGGGUGAAGAAAAUGUGAUGGUGGUAGUAGUUUAUCGAAUUAAGGCAAUUAGCGGCUACGAUCGUUCUCCCGCGGUGCCACUUAACUGCCUAUCUUCGUGAACACUCGAAAGCUUUUUCGCUUUCCAGCGCGAGAGAUAAGUUUAUCGCUCCGAGGCACUGUUCGCGCGCGCGUGCAAAUUCUUUACUACUUUCAAGCGACAAAUAUGACGCGGAUAACAGGAUGCAAAAAAAAAAAGAAAAGGAAUAUCAUGAUUGGUCAGUUUUCGAUACAUUAGUA